GGAAUUUUCCGCAAUGGGCGAAAGCCUGACGGAGCAAUACCGCGUGAGGGAAGACUGCCUAUGGGUUGUAAACCUCUUUUUUCAGGGAGGAAUAAAAUGACGUGUACCUGAAGAAUAAGCAUCGGCUAACUCCGUGCCAGCAGCCGCGGUAAGACGGAGGAUGCAAGUGUUAUCCGGAAUUACUGGGCGUAAAGCGUCUGUAGGUGGUUUAAUAAGUCAACUGUUAAAUCUUGAGGCUCAACUUCAAAAUCGCAGUCGAAACUAUUAGACUAGAGUAUAGUAGAGGUAAAGGGAAUUUCCAGUGGAGCGGUGAAAUGCGUAGAUAUUGGAAAGAACACCGAUGGCGAAAGCACUUUACUGGGCUAUUACUAACACUCAGAGACGAAAGCUAGGGUAGCAAAUGGGAUUAGAUACCCCAGUAGUC
RNAcentral lists this ribosomal RNA (424 nucleotides) under uncultured eukaryotic phytoplankton. Its description in RNAcentral is "bacterial SSU rRNA". It matches the Rfam family "Bacterial small subunit ribosomal RNA", at positions 358 to 795 of the family's 1533-position model. The record is from RNAcentral.